This 255-nucleotide ribosomal RNA is filed under the name uncultured bacterium. RNAcentral's name for it is "partial 16S ribosomal RNA". It matches the Rfam family "Bacterial small subunit ribosomal RNA", at positions 524 to 776 of the family's 1533-position model. The record is from RNAcentral.
UACGUAGGGUGCGAGCGUUUAAUCGGAAUUACUGGGCGUAAAGCGUGCGCAGGCGGUUCGUUGUGUCGGCGGUGAAAGCCCCGGGCUUAACCUGGGAAUGGCCGUCGAAACUGGCGAACUGGAGUGUGGCAGAGGGGGGUGGAAUUCCGCGUGUAGCAGUGAAAUGCGUAGAGAUGCGGAGGAACACCGAUGGCGAAGGCAGCCCCCCUGGGCUGACACUGACGCUCAGGCACGAAAGCGUGGGGAGCAAACAGG